RNAcentral lists this long non-coding RNA (701 nucleotides) under Capsicum annuum. Its description in RNAcentral is "long non-coding RNA (CANN_LNC006579)". Lineage: Eukaryota; Viridiplantae; Streptophyta; Magnoliopsida; Solanales; Solanaceae. The record is from RNAcentral.
CAUAGUUCAUUCUCUUCAAAUAAUUUCAAAGCCCAUAUCAUAUAAAAAUUUAGAGUUUAGGAAACGUGAUUUUCAGCCCAUGAGUAGUACAUAGCUCUUGGUCGAAGGAACUGACGUAAUUUGAUACUUGUGAAAUAUUUUGGCAUUUUGUACUGGAAAAAGUAUUUUCGCAUUUGUUGACCAUUAAGAACGAUGCUUACAAGAUAAAUGGUGUCUGAACCAACAAUGUCCAAAUCUUUUUGAAAGAAAAGUUUGCUAAAACCAUUAGUGCCAGGAGAGCUAUUAAUUCCAAAAACUGCCUCUUUGAUUUCAUUUGUAGUCGAUUCACAAAGAAUGCUAUUGUUAUGUUGCUCAUUAAUGCAUUUUGUAAUGAGGUCCAAAAUAUUAUUGUCAACCCUCAUAUUUCCUUGAGAGAAGAGAUACUGAUAAAGUUCUGCAGCUGCUACACCAAUGUUGUCAUCUCCCUCAAUCCAAUAAUCAUCAACUUUGAUUUUGUAAAUUGAAGAAAUUUUCUUCUGCCACUAACAAUGGAAUGAAAGUAUUAGGUAUUUCAUCACGCUCCAAGUUUCAUUUGAGAUUGGCCUUUUGUUUUCAGAAAGUAUUCACAUGUUUGUGAUGAGUGAUUAAUUUUGCUUUAAUUUUGUUCAUAUCCACUCUGUCUGAUCUAAUGAGUCCAUGUACUUCCCUUCAUUUUAUUCUGC